CCUACGGGAGGCAGCAGUGGGGAAUAUUGCACAAUGGGNGAAACCCUGAUGCAGCCAUGCCGCGUGUGUGAAGAAGGCCUUCGGGUUGUAAAGCACUUUCAGCGGGGAGGAAGGGUGNUGUGUUAAUAGCGCAGNACAUUGACGUUACCCGCAGAAGAAGCACCGGCUAACUCCGUGCCAGCAGCCGCGGUAAUA
This 195-nucleotide ribosomal RNA is filed under the name uncultured Gammaproteobacteria bacterium. RNAcentral's name for it is "partial 16S ribosomal RNA". It matches the Rfam family "Bacterial small subunit ribosomal RNA", at positions 338 to 525 of the family's 1533-position model. Lineage: Bacteria; Pseudomonadati; Pseudomonadota; Gammaproteobacteria. The record is from RNAcentral.